Long non-coding RNA from Cavia porcellus (domestic guinea pig), 3299 nucleotides. RefSeq lists it as uncharacterized. Lineage: Eukaryota; Metazoa; Chordata; Mammalia; Rodentia; Caviidae. The record is from RefSeq and is a predicted model, not a curated record. The transcript is spliced from 3 exons.
CCUGUGGGGGUGGAAGAGACAGACUCAGGCCAGAGUCAGGCUGUCUGCUCCCAGGAGAACAAGACGGUGCUUCCCCCUCACCUUUGACACCUGCUGUCACUCUGAGAGGCAUCUUACUCCCCCACUGGAGAGCUGAAACUCCACCCACAAACCCCAGGGCCAGCUUAACACUGGGACAGUAUGGUUGCCCAAUGACUGCAGAGUGAAACCGCAGCUCCCACCCACUUUCAGAAGGUGGAAAAGCCAGGGGACCCCAUGCCAGUCUGAGAGCUGAGCUCCCAUCCUAGGGGUCUCGGAGAAAACCAACCCUCUGCGCAGAACUUUUAUAAGAAGUACUUAGAAAAGAAAAGAAAAAAGAGAAACAGAGAGAGACUUGUAAGUGGGGACAAUUAGAAGAACUUGACAAAGUAAGCAGGGUCAGGAGACCUGAGAGACAGUGCAGGAACAGGGUCACAGAGGGACUUAGGACUCCUGAGAAAACUCGGCUGGAGUUGGGACUUCAGAGGCCUCAGUGGCCCGGGUGGUCUACUGCUCAUCACCCAUCAACCCCAAAAUGGGGUAAGGCAAGAACUGGGGCCCUGGACCAGCCUCAAUCUAACUCGGGGACAAGAAGAGUGACAACCAAACAACUUUAGAUGAAGUUUUGGAGGCGUCUAGGGAGAAGAAAACACAGAAACGACGGCAGCGGACACAGCGAGUUGCCUUCGAGCUCCGGCUCACCCUUACAGGCUGGCCACGCUCCGAGCAGUCUCCAACUGCCUCUCCAGCUCUACGUCUAAGAUGGGGAUCCUUUAAGCGACACGCCGGCACCUUGAGUUUAGCAUUCAGCCCUUCGAUGGGCGGAGUUAGGACCUGCCCUGAGACGCUGCCCCAUUCUCUUUCCUGGAAGUGUCCUUCUCCGGGUCCACAAUCCUGGAAAUCACCUGAUCCUCACCACGCGCAUUCCCCCAACCAAGGUUGUCUGGGUACCCAGCUAUCUUAGGUGUUGUCCUGCAGUCCCAGGGAACUACUACUCCCGCCACCACCUGCAUUUCAAGCACUGCCUGCCUCACUCCGUCCACCUCCUAAGGGAUUGCACCCAGCUGUUUCUUGACAGCUGAGCGGGGCUGGGACGUGGCCAUUGGCCCUUCCCCGACCUGGAACCAGUCCCCGCUGGCUCACUUGGGAGAGGGGAGGAGACUUCUAAGGACAACCAGGGAAUGAUGUGCUCCGAAGUCUAGUUCUGCCUGUGUGACACAGAUGAGACAGUUUUCUUUUCCAUUCCAUCAAAUGGGUAACCGGCAAUCGAGGGCUGGGGAUUGGUAAUGCAGCUCAAGGGUAUAACGCUUGCCUAACCCAUGCAAUCCGAUCCAGCACUACAAAAGCAAAACAAGCAAACUCCCCAACAUAGUAGUGACAGCAGCAACAACAAAUCAACUCUUGGCACCACAGACUUAGUGGUAGGCAAACCUGAGCUGAUACAGGUUGAAAGCCUGGCACAACAAGUACUCAAAUACGGGAAGCGUUUAUCAGUGCUGGCAGACACAGGUCGAAAAUCUAGAAAUCUGGUUUCUAGAUCAGCACCAUCCAGAGGACCGUCAGCUGCUCAGAACUAGGUAGAUUUCAAGUCUGCGACAGCACAGGUGGCUGGAGAACAUUUCCCCCCUCUCACAAAGUUCCACUGGACAGGACUGCUCAAGGUAGAACAUUCAAGAAUAAGCAAUCUCAUUUUUUUAAAAAAGGAAUCUGGCCAACAUGUUGGUGCUUCCUUGUCAGCCCCGCACUUGGGAGACUGACGCAGGAGGUCUCCACAAGUUUGAGGCCAAACUGGGCUACAUAGCAGGUUCAAGACCAGCCUGAACUUCAUAGUGAAACUCUGUCUCAAACAGACAAACAACCAGGAACCAGGAGUCUUUCUGGCUGGGUAACCUUGGGCAAGUUAAUUAAAUUCUGUGCCUCAGUUUUCCUUCUGUAAAAUGGGGACAAUCGUUUCACCCACCUCAUUAGGACCAUGAUGAGUCUGUCAUUAUAAAGCAACAAUGCUGGAUCCUAGUAAAAGCUCAAUAGCGUUUGCAGGGAGACACUGGAUUUUGGAAAAGGGGCCCUGGCCCAGCCCCUGAAUGAAGCAGAAAUGAUUUCUAAGUACCGGGAUGGUGAUGAGGCGGGUUGUCAAUAUACUUUGUAAAGUGACCAGAAAUGCUUCCAGAAAUGUAGAGUGUCCACCCGCUGUCCCCAACCCUCCCCCCAGCCCUCUGAGCUCCGCGCCACCUGUCUGUCCCCUUCUCGUCUUACCAUCCCCGUAUGCAGGCCCAGGGUCCUCAGCCCAAGUGGGUGGGAAGGGAACGGUGAGAGGUAAGCGUGGUCGUCGGGAGGUCAGGAAGCCGCCUGCUGGUCCACCAGGCUCACGCCCCAGAGGGCUGGGGGGCAACUCAGCCGCCGAAGUGGCCAGCAGCUCCUGUAAGAUGUUGAUGGGCGAGACGGUGAGUUCCCAGUUGGUGAUGCCAAAGUCUCGCAGGUGGGCCCGGGCGUGGCUAGAAAGGCCAGCCCUUGUGUCAAAUCCUGCCCCGCAGAAGUCACAUCGCAUCAGACUGAAGGUGCCCGGGUCAAAGUUGGCCACUGCAAAGAGAGGACAGGGAUCGUGUGGGCUGGGGCAGAGGCGGGGUCACUUUGCAGCCCCAGCGUCUCAGCCUCUGCAAAUCCCCCUGGACGGCCUGCCUUCCCCUCUGCUCCUGCCUGCCUCACCGCCAGGCACCCACCUCCCCAGGCCAGACAGCCUGAGCUCCCGGGUCCUUCUGAGCUGUGGAAUCGGGAAUCAGCCGGGUGCGUGCCCGGUGGAUAACUUCCUCCUGUCUAUUUUUGCCCACUCUUGCCUCAGUGUUGUGAAUUAAACACGAGUUGCAUGAAGAAACAGGCGGAGGACAUGACUGUCCCCCAGAGAGAGCCUUCUCUGAACAGCCAGGGUCUCACUGUGCAGUCCAGGUUGGCCUUGAGCUCACUUUGUGGCCCAGGCUGGUCUGGAACUUACAACGAUCCUCCUGCCUCAGCCUCCCGAGUACUGGGAUGACAGGCGUGAGCCAGCACACCCGGCUCGGCUCUAUGGUCUCUCCUGGGAACCGACCCUUAGAAUCUGGAACCUUGUGACCCUGGAACCUGCAUACCCUUCACAGGCACCCCAAGUUCUGAAGUCCACCAAUCAUCUCAUUGCUCCUGGCCUGGGCCGUGAAUUUGAGAAAGACGGAUGGCUGUUCACUCACUGCUGGGUCCCAUAGUGCAGACAACAGAACAGACCUCGCUCAUGGAAUUAAACGGGACUCUCUGCC